AGUUUGAUCCUGGCUCAGAACGAACGCUGGCGGCGUGUUUAAGACAUGCAAGUCGCACGGGAUUGAAUGAGUAGUAAUACGAUUUCAGUCUAGUGGCGCACGGGUGAGUAACGUGUGAAUGACAUGCCCUUCAGUGGGGAAUAGCCCAGGGAAACUUGGAUUAAUACCCCAUGGUAUCGCAAGAUUAAAGGUGGCCGCAAGGCUGUCGCUGAAGGAUUGGUGCGCACCCUAUCAGCUUGUUGGCGGGGUAACGGCCCACCAAGGCUACGACGGGUACCUGGUCUGAGAGGACGAUCAGGCACACUGGAACUGAGACACGGUCCAGACACCUACGGGUGGCAGCAGUCGAGAAUAAUUCACAAUGGGGGCAACCCUGAUGGUGCAACGCCGCGUAGAGGAUGACGGUCUUCGGAUUGUAAACUCCUGUCAUCUGGGAGUAAGGCAUGGUUGUUAAUAGCAAACAUGAUUGAUAGUACCAGAAGAGGAAGGGACGGCUAACUUCGUGCCAGCAGCCGCGGUAAUACGAAGGACCCAAGCGUUGUUCGGAAUCACUGGGCGUAAAGGGAGCGUAGGCGGCGUGGUAAGUCAGAUGUGAAAUCCCGGGGCUCAACCCCGGAACUGCAUCCGAUACUGCCAUGCUAGAGGAUUGGAGAGGUAGCUGGAAUUCUUGGUGUAGCAGUGAAAUGCGUAGAGAUCAAGAGGAACACUCGUGGCGAAAGCGAGCUACUGGACAAUUCCUGACG
RNAcentral lists this ribosomal RNA (743 nucleotides) under uncultured bacterium. RNAcentral's name for it is "bacterial SSU rRNA". It matches the Rfam family "Bacterial small subunit ribosomal RNA", at positions 10 to 745 of the family's 1533-position model. The record is from RNAcentral.